Molecule: ribosomal RNA, 21 nt
Filed under: uncultured Ascomycota
Lineage: Eukaryota; Fungi; Ascomycota
Description: partial 5.8S ribosomal RNA
Source: RNAcentral
GCAUCGAAUGCAGAACGCAGC